This 387-nucleotide ribosomal RNA is filed under the name uncultured bacterium. RNAcentral's name for it is "bacterial SSU rRNA". It matches the Rfam family "Archaeal small subunit ribosomal RNA", at positions 339 to 726 of the family's 1478-position model. The record is from RNAcentral.
GCGCGAAAACUUUACAAUGCUGGCAACAGCGAUAAGGGAACCUCGAGUGCCAGGUUACAAAUCUGGCUGUCGUGAUGCCUAAAAGGCAUUACACAGCAAGGGCCGGGCAAGACCGGUGCCAGCCGCCGCGGUAACACCGGCGGCUCGAGUGGUAACCGUUAUUAUUGGGUCUAAAGGGUCUGUAGCCGGCCGGAUAAGUCUCUUGGGAAAUCUGGCAGCUCAACUGUCAGGCUUUCAGGAGAUACUGUCUGGCUCGAGGCCGGGAGAGGUGAGAGGUACUUCAGGGGUAGGGGUGAAAUCUUGUAAUCCUUGAAGGACCACCAGAGGGGAAGGCGUCUCACCAGAACGGACCAGACGGCAAGGGACGAAAGCUAGGGGCACGAACCG